Long non-coding RNA from Mytilus trossulus (common blue mussel), 323 nucleotides. RefSeq lists it as uncharacterized. The transcript has 2 exons. NCBI's taxonomy places the organism in Eukaryota, Metazoa, Mollusca, Bivalvia, Mytilida, Mytilidae. The record is from RefSeq and is a predicted model, not a curated record.
AGGGUGUAAUAAAGUAACAACAGAGAAGGUUUUAGCAAGCAGGUGCUGAAAGAACUUCAAAAGGUUUAUCAAGACUUCUCAGUGCUUGCCAAACAAGUGUCAAAGAGUGAAUGGCAAGAAUGGCUUUAAAGAACGGAGAAGACGUGUUUUAUUGCACUUAGUUUUAAGCUUCUGUUUGAUAUUUUACCACUACGAUAGAGUUAUGUAAAUUUAUGUUAUGUAUUGUUCUAAUGUAUCAAUCUGUUUUGUAAUUACACUUUUUUAAAUAUGUUGUUAUUGUUUUUAUACCUUUUCCUACUAUUAAAGGUUUUUAUUAAGCCUUA